This 237-nucleotide unclassified non-coding RNA is filed under the name uncultured Agaricales. Its description in RNAcentral is "sequence contains ITS1". The record is from RNAcentral. Lineage: Eukaryota; Fungi; Basidiomycota; Agaricomycetes; Agaricales.
UUGAAUAACCUGGUACUGAUGCUGGCCCUUUAACUGAGGGCAUGUGCUCGUAUCAUCUUAUUUAUCUCCUCUUGUGCACCUUUUGUAGUCUUUGAAGCUUUCGCAGUCAAAUGCGGUUUGGGGGCUUGAGCUUGCAAAAGUCCUUCCCCUGCUUGGCUUCAAAGGCUAUGUUUUCAUAUACACUUUGUAGUUGCAGAAUGUCUUCUUAUUGGCUUUGUAAAGUCAGUAAACUCUAUA